UAAGUGCUGCCAUGUUUUAGUAG
Molecule: non-coding RNA, 23 nt
Filed under: Gallus gallus (chicken)
Lineage: Eukaryota; Metazoa; Chordata; Aves; Galliformes; Phasianidae
Also listed under: 1 other name
Source: RNAcentral